UUAAAAUUCCAGAAGGUAAACUAGUAAUUUAUUGUUGCUCAUAAGCAUAGGUAAACAGACAUGGUACCACAAUAAAGGAAUCUUAAACACUUCUAACCUUUUGGAAUAGGUUUGAAUAUGGACCAAUAUACUUUGCCAAUGGACCUAAUAGAUUACCAAUAUACUUCUAAAUAAAUUUAACCAAGAUGCUUAGGAAGAUGCAAAAGGACAGCAGUACUUAAGCCUGUCAUAUUUAUCACCAAUAUAACUGUAUUGCUAUUAAAAGUAAAAUCAUGGUAGGGAGCAGCCAACUAAUUGCUAGUCUCAGUUCAUAGAUUUAGUAUUUUUUGAAAAUAAUUCACCUCAGAUGGCAGGCUAUACAAGUUUAAAGUAGUUUUAACUUAACCUUUUGUGUACUAGUGAAAGCAAUUCAGAUAGAUCCCAAGUCAAAGAACCAAACAGUGUAUCAAGUUGGGUUUCAUAUCAGAAAUCAGCCAUUUCCAAACAACUGCAUCGUAUAGGACGUUUUCUUUCAGACUGCCUUUUAUUCCUGGCUUCAAAUCUUACUCACAGUAUAUGUUUUUAGAGAGUUUGGUAAGUGUAACAAAUGGGUACUCAUUGCUAGAGCAGGAUAUAAGAAUGUGCUGAUCACCAAGUAUGAGAUUUACAUUACAUUAAAUUAAAAUUAUAUAAUGUUGGAAAUAGACAAUAUAGGGAGUUCCCGGAUCCUAGAAAAUAUUAUGGCUAAGGAAACAGAGAACUCAAGAAAUGAAUCUACCUCCAAGAAACUAAUUCAGUAUAGUAAAAUAGAAUUAAGUGCCCUGUCUCAGGAAAAAGUUUAUUAAGAAUAAGGAACAAGUGGGACAUCAUACAUCGUUUCUUUGGAGAUUAAAGUGCAGGCUAUGAAAUGGCAUAUAAAAUAAUGCAUAAAAUAGUGCAAUCUUAAGGUGCCAUUAUUUUUAUU
RNAcentral lists this long non-coding RNA (943 nucleotides) under Homo sapiens (human). Its description in RNAcentral is "HSALNT0022808". The record is from RNAcentral. Lineage: Eukaryota; Metazoa; Chordata; Mammalia; Primates; Hominidae.